AACAUUAAGGGCGCGAUUACGUCACGAGAGUUUAGUAAUUUGAAUCAUAAUAUGAUUAAUCGGUAUUUUUUGUAUGGAAAAUAGUAAAGAUAGUUAUGAAAUAAAGAUAUUUAGUGGAUUAUAAUACCUAAUUAUGAAAAACUUUUGAUUUUUGUGUGGUCUGGUACCCCUACCACAGUGGGAUAGAAAUCUUGAGCUUCCCUGGCCCCUUUCGCUUGGAGGUGCUGUGCUAGGUGCUAGUGUGCUAGUAGUCACAAACACGAAACACAUCAACAAGUCACGUUCGUAAGAGUUCGUUGCGCAUGAUUCAUUUUCCGUCAUUUUGUUUAUGAUUUUGUCCUGUUUUGUUUUUUUUUUAAAUAGAGGUAAUUUUAUGACCAGUGAUAUGGCUAAGACAGAUAGACUAUUAUUGAAAUGGAACAACAUACAAUAAUAUGUAGAACAUGUUGUGUUGGUGGUUGUACCUUCUCCACAUCGAUUACGUUUUCCAGAGAUGAAAUGGACAUGUUCUUGGAAGGGUUGAAACCUUAGGUAAGUAUACACCACUUUAUCUUUACAACAGUUUUCGUGUUUGUUCUAGGCAUUUUAAAGAAAAUUUUAAGAUACAUGAGAGUUCGAACAAGAGGAAUUACCAAAGGGGCCAUCCCAAGCUCAUUUUUACCACCACUAGGAAUAUGCAAAAGACCUAUGCAUGAGUUAAAAUAAAUGACCAGAGACAGAGAUCUUUUUAGACAGACAAUAUAUGACAUCACGUCGACCACUACACUCCCUCCUGGGGGUCAGGAUUGAAGAGAGAGAUUAUCAGGAUGAAAAGGCUACUGAAGAAUCUCAAUUUAUUGACAUGCAUGGUAAUAUGUUAUAAAGUACUUCCACUCUAACUUUUCCCAUGCACGAAAUUAUUGACGAACUACUAUUCAUACAAGGUCUCUUUUUAACUCACAGACACUCUGAGAGUAGUACAUAUCAAUGCCACACAUCAAUGUAUGUCUCGCUUUAUUUUUUGAUAUCAACGCAUGUGAAAAGUCAGAGUGGAAGAACUAUAAAAAUAUACCUUACCUACAUUCUAAAUUGUAAUAAUUUUGCUUUUCAUUCACAGUCAUUUAUUUCGAGCUUCUGUCAUAUGUCCUAUAAUCCAUGUAUAUUAAUAUUUUACACAGAUUAGCUUAGUUUCGAGCAUCCAUCAUAGGAAUCUCAUAUAAUAUUAAUAUAAUCUGUGUAUAAUAUUAAUAUACAUGAAUUAUAGGACAUAUGACAGAAGUUCGAAAUAAAUGACUGUGAAUGAAAAGCCCUAUUAUUACAAUUGAGAAUGUAGGUGAGGUAUAUUUUUAUAGUUCUUAUAAUAUUAUAAUAUGUAUUAUGCUCAUAUAAUGAUAUUAUCCACUGUACUGAAAGGUAAAAAUUUUAACCCACAAAUCAACUUUUUUCAGGAAGUAGAGAAAACGUUCCACUUAAGUAAUUUGGUGAGGAAUUAACCUCAUCAAAACAAACGUAUAUAUCAAUAAUUGAACUAUAAAGUAAUGAAAACAAUUAUUAGGUUAAUUCCUCACCAAAUUACAAACGUCUUUUCUACUUCAUGAAAAAAGUUGAUUUGUGAUAAAUACAGUAAAUCCUCUGUUAACUGAAACAUUGCUUAACCGAAAUGGGUCAAUAGUUACAGUUUCAAUAAUUACGUCAAUAAAAGGUAAAUUUUUAUAUCAAAACAGAAAUAAUUCAAUGUUAAUUUGUCAACAUUGCUUUCAUACAACUAAAAUAUGCAAUUUAUUUAUUUAUUUAUACAGGGUGCCUGCUUAACUUGGAACCAUAUGGGAAACUUUUGUAAUAUCAAUUUUACGAAAAAAAGUCAUUCUUUAUAAAGUGCUCUGCAUAGUCUAAAACCUACGAUGCAAUCAUCAGAAAUCAAAUUUUGUCAAUAAUAUACAAGGUAUGUCAAAAAAUAUUAAUAUCGCUCAAGAGCAAACUACCUUUAUAUUUCAAAAUAUCAAAAAAU
Long non-coding RNA from Diabrotica virgifera virgifera (western corn rootworm), 1987 nucleotides. RefSeq lists it as uncharacterized. The transcript has 3 exons. The record is from RefSeq and is a predicted model, not a curated record. NCBI's taxonomy places the organism in Eukaryota, Metazoa, Arthropoda, Insecta, Coleoptera, Chrysomelidae.